Papaver somniferum (opium poppy) is the source of this 1578-nucleotide long non-coding RNA. RefSeq lists it as uncharacterized. The transcript has 2 exons. The record is from RefSeq and is a predicted model, not a curated record. NCBI's taxonomy places the organism in Eukaryota, Viridiplantae, Streptophyta, Magnoliopsida, Ranunculales, Papaveraceae.
GAAUUAUUGGUGAAAUGUUGCUUCUAUACUUGACAUUUUAUAGUUAGAUCUUGUUUUUUCUCGGAUUUGAUUUCUAGAUCUAUUUUUUUCUCUUUUGUUCUUUUAGCUUCGUAUCAGGGUAUUGUUUUCUCUAAAGAUGAAAGGAUGGGUUAUGAUCUUCUGCAUCGAAGAAAUCAACGCAUUAAUAGUGUGAGUGAGAGAUUGUAUGUGUUUAUUGAAAUCAAGAGAAUUGAGAGAGUCGAGUAUAUAUACUCAGGUCCAUUGUAACAGACAAUUAACCUUUUCUAAUCAAUAUCAAACCCUUCAUCAACGUAGACAUACGAUAGUCACUAUGGUAUCAAACUCAGAAAUUUUAAUUUCUGAGGGUAAUCAAUCAUUUCCUGUGAUUUCUUCACCACUACCACCAUUAUUUCUCCACCACCACCACCACGAUCAUCAAAUCUCUUCAUCACCUUCUGCUGUUACUGAAAUCGGAGACUCGAAUUAUGUUUUCAAAGAGAAGAUACAAUUGGUAAUUGCUAGAGAUUGGUGAGUAUUUUUGCAGUAUUUUGGAGCAUCAUUAACUGUGUACAAUUCUUGAGAUCAAAGUUUGUCAGCUAGGUGUGUGAUUCUAUUGGAAGCAAUGGUGAGAUUCAAACUGAGUAUUUUUUUAUUGGUGUAAUUUGUACUUCUGUCUUACUACUGGUGGUACUUUGUCUGACUUUCUUUUUUAAAAUUUCUGCAACCACAAACUAUUGCUGUCCUACAAGUUGUUACACCUGCCUAGCUUCAUCUGUAUCAUUUAUCCUUGGUAUGUCUGCUAUCAAAUGCUCUGGUGCCUGGUGUUUCUCUUAUAAUCUUCUUGUUGAUAUUGGUGGUUGCCGUGCUUCGAUACUUAUACACCAACUUCUUAUACAAAUCCUAGUCUACUGAUUCUUUAUGACUAUUACUACACCGACAACUGCUUUUGACCUACUGCUUCUCUCAACUUCCUAUUCAAAAGCUGCAAUCUACUAUUCAGUUAUGCAUACAGCUGUUGCUUCUUUGCUACAGUUUUCAUAUCCAGGUUGGUACUUUGCUGAUUGAAUUCUAGUACUGAUUCUUCCUAAGAUCAACUGCUGCAAUACUAUGACUUUUUCUUCACCAACUGCAACAACUACUACAACAGUCACAAUCUGAUUUGCAGCCUCUUAUGCUAGUUUCUAUGCACCAACUUUUUCAACUGCUUCCUAUGGUCUACUACAAGCUUCAUUGCAAUAGGUGUUUUAUAUUCAAUUGUUCUACUACUGCAUCUCUGACUACAGUCGCAAUCUAUCUGUCUUGGUGUAACUACUCACAAUUGUCCUACUGUUUUUGCUUUUUUCUAUGUGUGAGUGAUUGUAUGUGAGUGUGUGAGAGCAAGUUCAAUGUUCCUUUGCAAUGCCCUUGAACUUGAGGGGGGAUAAUAGUGUGAGUGAGUGAUUGUAUGUGAGUGUUUGAGAUGAUCGAGCAUGUGUUUAUUGAAAUCAAGAGAGUUGAGAGAGGAGUAUAUAUACUCAGGUCCAUUGUAACAGACAAUUAAUAUUUUCUAAUCAAUAUCAAACCCUUCAUCAAUGUAGA